This 435-nucleotide ribosomal RNA is filed under the name uncultured bacterium. RNAcentral describes it as "bacterial SSU rRNA". It matches the Rfam family "Bacterial small subunit ribosomal RNA", at positions 28 to 507 of the family's 1533-position model. The record is from RNAcentral.
GAUGAACGCUGGCGGUAUCCUUAACACAUGCAAGUCGAACGAUGUCUUCGGACAUAGUGGCGGACGGGUGAGUAACGCGUGAGAAUCUGCCUCUAGGUUGGGGAUAACGGUUGGAAACGACCGCUAAUACCCAAUGUGCCGCAAGGUGAAAAAUUUAUUGCCUGGAGAGGAGCUCGCGUCUGAUUAGCUAGUUGGUGUAGGUAAUGGCUCACCAAGGCAUCGAUCAGUAGCUGGUCUGAGAGGAUGAUCAGCCACACUGGGACUGAGACACGGCCCAGACUCCUACGGGAGGCAGCAGUGGGGAAUUUUCCGCAAUGGGCGAAAGCCUGACGGAGCAACGCCGCGUGAGGGAUGAAGGCCUCUGGGCUGUAAACCUCUUUUAUCAAGGAAGAAGAUCUGACGGUACUUGAUGAAUAAGCCACGGCUAAUUCCGUG